GACCCAAUAGCACAGUGGUUAGUGUGCCAGUAAUUUGUGGCGCGGCUGGUAAUAUAAGCUGGAGAUCCCUGUUCGAUUCGGGGUUGGGUCA
Non-coding RNA from Mycena capillaripes, 91 nucleotides. NCBI's taxonomy places the organism in Eukaryota, Fungi, Basidiomycota, Agaricomycetes, Agaricales, Mycenaceae. The record is from the annotation of a GenBank genome assembly.